AGUUGGGUGGCUCAGUGGCGAGAGUUCCAGGUCUGGAUUCUGGAGGACUCGAGUUCAAAUCUGGUCUCAGAUA
Molecule: transfer RNA, 73 nt
Filed under: Monodelphis domestica (gray short-tailed opossum)
Lineage: Eukaryota; Metazoa; Chordata; Mammalia; Didelphimorphia; Didelphidae
Rfam family: tRNA
About the family: Transfer RNA (tRNA) molecules are approximately 80 nucleotides in length.
Source: Rfam by way of RNAcentral